This 460-nucleotide ribosomal RNA is filed under the name uncultured bacterium. RNAcentral describes it as "partial 16S ribosomal RNA". It matches the Rfam family "Bacterial small subunit ribosomal RNA", at positions 338 to 795 of the family's 1533-position model. The record is from RNAcentral.
CCUACGGGAGGCAGCAGUGAGGGAUAUUGGUCAAUGGGCGCUAGCCUGAACCAGCGAAGUAGCGUGAAGGAUGACUGCCCUAUGGGUGGUAAACUUCUUUUGUAGGGGAGUAAAGUGCAGUAUGUAUACUACUUUGCAUGUACCUUAUGAGUAAGGAUCGGCUAACUCCGUGCCAGCAGCCGCGGUAAUACGGAGGAUCCGAGCGUUAUCCGGAUUUAUUGGGGUUAAAGGGAGCGUAGGCGGGUUGUUAAGUCAGUUGUGAAAGUUUGCGGCUCAACCGUAAAAUUGCAGUUGAUACUGGCAUCCUUGAGUACAGUAGAGGUAGGCGGAAUUCGUGGUGUAGCGGUGAAAUGCUUAGAUAUUACGAAGAACUCCGAUGGCGAAGGCAGCCUGCUGGACUGUAACUGACGCUGAUGCUCGAAAGUGUGGGUAGCAAACAGGAUUAGAUACCCUGGUAGUC